GAAUGAACAGGGAUAAGCUCAGCAUGGAAAUUGGGGCCUCUGGCCUUGAAUUGUAGUCUUAAGAUGUGCUACCAACGGAGGCGCAGAUGUAAGCCUCUUGGAAAAGAGCGUCAGGGAGGGUGAGAGUCCCGUAUGCCAUCUGCAGUUCUCUGUGCACGGUGCAUUUUCUAAGAGUCACGUUCCUCGGGAUUGGAGCGCAAAUUGGGUGGUAAAUUUCAUCUAAAGCUAAAUAUUGGUUCGAGACCGAUAGCAAACAAGUACCAUGAGGGAAAGGUGAAAAGGACUUUGAAAAGAGAGUUAAAAGUGCCUGAAAUUGCUGAAAGGGAAGCGAAUGGAACCAGUUGUUCUUGGCGAGUAUUGGUGUUGUCUAAAGUGAUGGCUUGCCACUUCAACGCAAGUGUGGUGGCAGGUUUUGAUCUGGAUGCGAUACUGCAUCUCGCCUUGCAUGUCAACGUCAGUUCAUAAUUGAGGAAAACUCUAAGGACUUGGUAAUUUGCUUCCGGGUGACUGAAUGUCCCUAGCUGAACUCAUUUUUGAACUGCUCUCUCUAUGUCUGGUAGCAGUGCUCUGUGAGCUUGUCUGCAAUCCUGUGCUGGCUCUGCUUGGCAUGGGGUUGCUGGUGCCUAGAGCAUGUCCUUGACAUAAGUACGAUGACGAAAUGGUUUUAUUCGACCCGUCUUGAAACACGGACCAAGGAGUCUAACAUAUGUGCAAGUUCACGGGCGGGAAAACCUGCUUGCGCAUAUGAAAGUGACUGCUGGGAUAUCUAGACCAGCAACCGACCAAUCAAUUGUGAGAGGUUUGAGUAUGAGCAUAUCUGUUAGGACCCGAAAGAUGGUGAACUAUGCUUGAGAAGGGUGAAGUCAGGGGAA
This 872-nucleotide ribosomal RNA is filed under the name Karenia cristata. RNAcentral's name for it is "eukaryotic LSU rRNA". It matches the Rfam family "Eukaryotic large subunit ribosomal RNA", at positions 91 to 860 of the family's 3401-position model. The record is from RNAcentral. Lineage: Eukaryota; Dinophyceae; Gymnodiniales; Kareniaceae.